Molecule: long non-coding RNA, 260 nt
Filed under: Elaeis guineensis (African oil palm)
Lineage: Eukaryota; Viridiplantae; Streptophyta; Magnoliopsida; Arecales; Arecaceae
Description: long non-coding RNA (EGUI_LNC025051)
Source: RNAcentral
CCACAUAAUUUGGUCUACCAGAUUUGCAUACGGAGACUUUGUCAAAUGGGCAGUCUAUUGAAUAUGCUAAAAGAAUUAUCAUUUAUUUUAAAUUUUAAUUAUAUUAAAUAAAUAGUUUAUGGAAUGGAUCAAGAUUCGUGGAUUUGGUACCAAACUCCAUAUCGGUGAUACGAAUAAGUAUGGAUCCCUAUUGGAUCCGAUUUGUGCGAAUUAACACAGAGGAGAAAGAAAUCGGAAUGAGAAAAAGAGAGAGAGGAGGG